RNAcentral lists this ribosomal RNA (304 nucleotides) under uncultured bacterium. RNAcentral describes it as "partial 16S ribosomal RNA". It matches the Rfam family "Bacterial small subunit ribosomal RNA", at positions 509 to 807 of the family's 1533-position model. The record is from RNAcentral.
CAGCAGUCGCCGCGGUAAUACGAAGGGGGCUAGCGUUGCUCGGAAUCACUGGGCGUAAAGGGUGCGUAGGCGGGUCUUUAAGUCAGGGGUGAAAUCCUGGAGCUCAACUCCAGAACUGCCUUUGAUACUGAAGAUCUUGAGUUCGGAAGAGGUGAGUGGAACUGCGAGUGUAGAGGUGAAAUUCGUAGAUAUUCGCAAGAACACCAGUGGCGAAGGCGGCUCUCUGGCCCGAUACUGACGCUGAGGCACGAAAGCGUGGGGAGCAAACAGGAUUAGAUACCCGGGUAGUCCCUGUCUCUUAUAC